Podarcis lilfordi (Lilford's wall lizard) is the source of this 100-nucleotide non-coding RNA. Lineage: Eukaryota; Metazoa; Chordata; Lepidosauria; Squamata; Lacertidae. The record is from the annotation of a GenBank genome assembly.
UCCCCAGAUGUUGUUGGACUACAAUUCCCAUCACCUCUAGCGAGCGGGUCCAGUGGUCAGGGAUGAUGGGAGCUGUAGUCCAACAACAUUUAGAUGGGAA